CUCGCUGAUAAAGAGUCCGCACCGUCCCUCGUUUCUGUCCUCUUUCCGCCUCACUCUUCUCCAAUGGCUUCAGCAAUGACGGAGGACUCCAGUUUUGAAGACGAUCAACUGGCUUCUAUGACCACCGACGACAUCGUCAGGGCCUCUCGCCUCCUCGACAACGAGGUCCGGAUCCUCAAGGAUGAGUUGCAGAGGACGAAUCUCGAGUUGGAGUCCUUUAAGGAAAAGAUCAAGGAGAACCAGGAAAAAAUCAAACUAAACAAGCAACUCCCUUACCUCGUUGGUAACAUCGUCGAGAUUUUGGAGAUGAAUCCAGAAGAUGAGGCUGAGGAAGAUGGUGCAAAUGUUGAUCUAGACUCGCAGAGAAAGGGAAAAUGUGUGGUUCUAAAAACUUCUACACGACAAACUAUCUUCCUUCCCGUUGUUGGGUUAGUUGACCCUGAUAAGCUUAAGCCUGGAGAUUUGGUUGGGGUUAACAAGGACAGCUACCUAAUCUUGGACACCCUUCCUUCUGAAUAUGACUCACGAGUGAAGGCAAUGGAGGUUGAUGAAAAGCCAACUGAAGAUUACAAUGAUAUUGGUGGUCUCGAGAAGCAGAUCCAAGAACUAGUUGAAGCAAUUGUGCUGCCAAUGACGCACAAAGACCGGUUUCAGAAAUUAGGGAUUCGUCCACCUAAAGGGGUGCUUUUGUAUGGACCUCCUGGAACAGGGAAGACACUGAUGGCUCGUGCCUGUGCAGCGCAGACAAAUGCUACUUUUCUGAAGCUAGCAGGACCUCAACUUGUUCAGAUGUUUAUUGGUGAUGGUGCAAAACUUGUUCGUGAUGCCUUUCAGCUUGCGAAGGAAAAAUCUCCCUGUAUAAUUUUUAUAGAUGAGAUUGAUGCAAUCGGAACCAAGCGAUUUGAUAGUGAAGUAAGUGGAGAUAGGGAAGUGCAACGGACAAUGUUGGAAUUACUUAAUCAGCUUGAUGGUUUUAGCAGUGAUGAUCGAAUAAAGGUUAUAGCAGCAACAAAUCGUGCUGACAUUCUUGAUCCUGCUCUUAUGCGUUCUGGUCGUUUAGAUCGCAAAAUUGAGUUCCCUCAUCCAACUGAAGAAGCAAGAGCUCGGAUAUUGCAGAUCCACUCGAGGAAAAUGAAUGUACACCCUGAUGUCAACUUCGAAGAGCUGGCUCGAUCAACAGAUGAUUUCAAUGGGGCACAAUUGAAGGCAGUUUGUGUAGAAGCUGGCAUGCUCGCUCUGCGACGAGAUGCAACUGAGCAAGCAACAUGUGUGGUGGCACUGUGACAUGGCCUGUGGCUGGCACACCCCGUGCCACUGGCACUUGAAUCCAUGGCGGGGCGAACUUUUGUCUGUUUACCUCUAUGGUUCAAUGUGAUGCAUGAAGAUUUCAAUGAAGGGAUAAUCCAAGUCCAAGCCAAGAAGAAAGCCAGUUUGAAUUAUUAUGCUUAAUACUUAGCAUAUGAGCUUGUAAUGUAGUUGAAUUGAAGUUAUAUGCUGAAAAUAUUAAUUCUCAUUUUUCUCCAACACUCUUUGUUUAGAAUAUAUUUUAUCAAUAUAUCAUGAUGCAUCAGCAAAUGUUUUCUU
Non-coding RNA from Phoenix dactylifera (date palm), 1584 nucleotides. The record is from RefSeq and is a predicted model, not a curated record. Lineage: Eukaryota; Viridiplantae; Streptophyta; Magnoliopsida; Arecales; Arecaceae.